RNAcentral lists this ribosomal RNA (849 nucleotides) under Anaxyrus punctatus (red-spotted toad). RNAcentral describes it as "partial 16S ribosomal RNA". It matches the Rfam family "Bacterial large subunit ribosomal RNA", at positions 1212 to 2569 of the family's 2925-position model. Lineage: Eukaryota; Metazoa; Chordata; Amphibia; Anura; Bufonidae. The record is from RNAcentral.
AGCUUAUUUGUCUACAAGCCUAAUCACUCGACCAUCACCUCAAUCCUCUACCACUACUGAGUAAUUCUAUAACACUAUAGAAAAUUUUAUGUUAAAACUAGUAACAUGAAGGAAGUUCUUCUCUUCAAUGCAAGUGUACAUCAGUAAGGAUAAACCACUGAUAAUUAACGCACAAUGAAACCAGAGUAGGAACUCAAUCAAGAAAAAUCUACUCUCACUAGCGUUAACCUAACACAAGAGCAUUACAAGAAAGAUUAAAAGAAAAAGAAGGAACUCGGCAAAUAUUAACCUCGCCUGUUUACCAAAAACAUCGCCUCUUGAAUCAUUAUAAGAGGUCCAGCCUGCCCAGUGACCAUGUUCAACGGCCGCGGUAUCCUAACCGUGCGAAGGUAGCGUAAUCACUUGUUCUUUAAAUGUGGACUAGUAUGAAUGGCACCACGAAGGUUAUACUGUCUCCUUUUUCUAAUCAGUGAAACUAAUCUCCCCGUGAAGAAGCGGGGAUAACUCUAUAAGACGAGAAGACCCUAUGGAGCUUUAAAACAAUAUAACAAUUGCUUCACAACACGUAAUUUCCCGAAUUCUCCACUCCUUUAAGCAAUGUGUUUACAAGUUUUUGGUUGGGGUGACCGCGGAGCAUAACACAACCUCCAUGUUGAAAGAAUUUUUCUAAGCUAAGGCCAACUAGCCUAGGCAUCAGUACUCUGACAUUCAUUGACCCAAUAUAUUUGAACAACGAACCAAGUUACCCUAGGGAUAACAGCGCAAUCCACUUCAAGAGCUCCUAUCGACAAGUGGGUUUACGACCUCGAUGUUGGAUCAGGGUAUCCCAGUGGUGCAGCCGCUACUAAG